AUAGCUGAUUGCACCAACAAAUAGUUGAUGCAAUAUUGACUCUGUCAAAUAAAAUUCUAGGUAGAAUUAUGAUAAUGACAUUGUCUGCCUAUAUGUCUUGACCAAAUUACGUGCCAGCAGUCGCGGUAAUACGUAGAAGACUAGUGUUAUUCAUCUUUAAUAGGUUUAAAGGGUACCUAGACGGUAAAUCAAGCCUUCACAGGGACUAAUUUACUAGAGUUACCUACGAGGGGGUAUUAAAGUACUGCAGGUGUAGAGAUGAA
This 263-nucleotide ribosomal RNA is filed under the name Lepraria straminea. RNAcentral describes it as "partial small subunit ribosomal RNA". It matches the Rfam family "Bacterial small subunit ribosomal RNA", at positions 378 to 685 of the family's 1533-position model. The record is from RNAcentral. Lineage: Eukaryota; Fungi; Ascomycota; Lecanoromycetes; Lecanorales; Stereocaulaceae.